Molecule: unclassified non-coding RNA, 158 nt
Filed under: plant metagenome
Description: partial contains 5.8S ribosomal RNA, internal transcribed spacer 2, and large subunit ribosomal RNA
Source: RNAcentral
CCUGGUAAAAGCGACGGAAGUCGCCGCCGACCCGCUGCGCGAGCUUCUGGAAAAGCAUCUCGCCAGCGGCAAGAGCGGCAUCGAGGAGACCGGCGGCGGGCAGGUCUUCAUCACCGUGCAUGUGCCGUCGCCGCGGCUUGUCAUCACCGGUGCGGUGC